UACGUAGGGCGCAAGCGUUAUCCGGAAUUAUUGGGCGUAAAGAGCUCGUAGGCGGUUUGUCGCGUCUGCCGUGAAAGUCCGGGGCUCAACUCCGGAUCUGCGGUGGGUACGGGCAGACUAGAGUGAUGUAGGGGAGACUGGAAUUCCUGGUGGAGCGGUGAAAUGCGCAGAUAUCAGGAGGAACACCGAUGGCGAAGGCAGGUCUCUGGGCAUUAACUGACGCUGAGGAGCGAAAGCAUGGGGAGCGAACAGG
RNAcentral lists this ribosomal RNA (253 nucleotides) under uncultured bacterium. RNAcentral's name for it is "partial 16S ribosomal RNA". It matches the Rfam family "Bacterial small subunit ribosomal RNA", at positions 524 to 776 of the family's 1533-position model. The record is from RNAcentral.